AUGAAAACAAAUGACAAUAAAACUGAUAUUGUAAAUAUUAUUAUUUAUUGAAGUAGUUAAAAAAAAAAAUUAUUUGCAUAAUAUGUUAAUUGUAAGUAAUAUAAAUUAAUUAAAACAAUCAUAAUUAAAAAUUCAUUAACAGACACGUUUAUUAAUUAGUUAUUUAUACAUUAUUUGUAUCCGUCAAUCAAUGUACAUAUGUAUUGUACAUUUAAUACAGUUGUUCCGAACUGAAUUUAUAUAUUUUGAAUUUGAGUUUUAUCCAAGUUUUCAAUUAAUUUGAAAAAAAAAUGUCUCAGCUAUAAAUUGUGUUCAAAUUUGUAGUAGGUACUAAAAAAGAUGGUUCAAAUACUGCCCACAGUAGUACUACGUGGGCAGUAUAUAUUAUGAGUUUGAAAUUGAAGGCCGUACAAAUAGAAAAAAGUUAGCCGACCAAAAUAUGCCCAAACAACUACUAAAACUCAAUAAAAUAACGAAUAUUAUCACAUGACAUACGUGCUAUUGGACUUAGGUGGGGACAUCGUUGUUUGGCCGAAUUCCCGUGGCUGAUUGCCAACCGGACCAAGUGGGCGCGGACAAUAUUUUCAUGCAUUAGCCAAAAUUAAAAAAAGUAAUCCGGCUGGUCACUAAAAGUUACUUUAUCACCAAUAUAUGGUCAUUAAAACAAUUUUACGUCUUAAUAAAAUUGCAUUGCUAACAAUAUACUCGACAUAUUUUAAUUAAUAUUACACUUUUUUUCAUUCCACAAUAUUCUAUGAUGGUUUCGUCAACGUUAAAUGAAAAUAAAUCAAAUUAAUUUAAAUAAUUAUCAAAUAAAAACAUUUACAUAAAAUAAAUGAUUUAAUUAUAGAAUUCAACGGCCGUGACAUGUAUUAAAUAACAUUUCCGUUUUCCGAGGAUUUUAAGUACUUAUUUUGUAUACCUAUCUACAGUGAACUAUAAUAAAUUCAAGUAUGAUAAUUACUUGUAGUAAAAUAUGUUGAGAUUCAUACUGAUCAAGUUUUUUUUUUAACAAUGAAAACUUAACUAUUGUCUUACAAUACCUUGCAAAGAAUUGUACCUAUAAUAAUUAUAAGUCUCAUAAAAAUGUUUAAAACUAUAUCGUAAAGUAGUAUCGAAAUGAUUAUACUUUAUUGGGUACUCAACAUUUAAAAAAAUAUGAAUUAAAAGUUCUGUAAUCAUACAAUAGGUAAUGUAAAACAGCCAUUUAUUAUGACAGAAUAUCCGUUCCAGAACUGUAGUCAAAAUAUUAUAAUAGCCUAUUUGAGAUUCCACUGUUUGUCACGUCUGUGUAUAAAACAAUGUAGAAUUAAAGUGGGAAUGAGCCAAAUAAGUCUGCAAUUGUCUGUAUAGUUAAUAAUAAGAAGGCGUAUUUAUUGGUCUUAAAAAUUCCUUAUAUGCAUUUAAGUUGAAAAAAGUAGACGUAUCAUUUAAAACUCAUCCGGGAAGUCGGCCAAAUGGAUUUAUCAAUGUUGUAAAUAGAACAACACGGUAUGGUAAAUGGUAAUAUUAUUUAAAAGCUUUUCCACAUUAUUUAUGACGUUACGCUUUAUUACUUGUGUGAUGAUUUGACGACGUUCAAAUCUAAAAUUAUAGGGUCGUCAACGGUAUGUAUAAUAUAUAUAAAAUAAAGGUUUUAAAAUAAUAAUAAUAAUCAUAAUAUAAAUCGGGUUGUAAAAUAUGUUUAAUGGUUUACUGUAUGAAACACCCUCUGGUGUAUAGUCGUAUUCAUACACACAUAGGAUUAUGACUGAAUAAUAUUUCUGCAAUGGGGACGGUUUAAGAUAUAAUAAUUUGUUUUUUUCUUUUAUCGAGAUAUAAUAAUAAUACAUAGAAUUACGUAGUUCGAACUAGUGUGGAUUAAAAUACCUUAUUGAAACGAUAAGUACGUUUAUGCUCUAUAUAAUAAUAAUAUAAUAAUACGCGUUUAUUCUCGAGCAACGUGAAUCCACUAUUUAUAUUUACCAUAAAUUCUUUAUACAAUAGGUACUGUGUGACAACCGUGGAAAUUGUUGCAUAGCGCCAGACCUAACCAUAGUAACGCAACCAGUAAGGGAGUCUUUGGAUUCUGGACCUCUCCCCUUGAGUAUUUAUAUUCAAUGAUCAAUUUUAUUUGAUAUUAUUAUAAAUUAUAAUAAUUACAUUAUUAGCAACAAUAUAUAAAUAUAGUCAAGGCACUAAAAUAUUAUACAACAGAAAUUUUACGGGUUUCACUGCUUUCUACUUUCCUCCCCCCAUAAAAAUGUAAUGACAUUUUAUUUAUUAUCAUUCUUACGUACCUAGUGUUUUGGUCGUUUUAUUUGUACAAGCUGCUCGUCGCACCGUUUACUUUUAUGACUAUACAGUAUCUUUUGAACAAAAUAACUGGAGGUCAAAAUAAAACUAAACACGAGAUAAACCUGAAAAGCUGAACCAUACGUAUAUAUAGUCCAUUCAAAAAUAUUGAAGAAAUGGAAAAUUCUAUAGAUACACUCAUCCGUUUUUACGUAUAUAAUAACAUUAUUUGUACUUGUAAUGUACACUCGACACGUAAUAUUUCUGUAUAAUAUCCAUUAUUUCGCACGCACACAUAAUAAUGUUAAUAUGUUACGAGUUUAUGACUUAUGAUAUGGCACCUAUGUACCUACAGACACAAUACGAGUAAAUUUAGAUACUUUUCGUGAAACAACAAUAAUAAUACUGACAUAUAUUACGUGACUCUUCACGAACUAUAUUACAUAGAGAGCUUGUUUAAACGUAAUAUUUCGAUACCGUUAACGAAACAUCCCCAACGGAUAUUACAUACCAGUUGCAUUCAAAAUAAAAUAAUUAUUAUUAUUAACUAAUGGAAAUAAAAAUGCAUAUAAUAUUAGGAUAAAUACAAUAUUUUCAAUAAAAACCAAAAAUCGGCAUAAAUUUUAAUUUGGGGAAAAAAAUUGUGUAAAAUUACCCAUCUCGUUAAUAAAAUUGUUCUCUAUUUGCACUAUAUAUAAUUGCGCUAUUGUACGUCGAGGGCAUUAAAGAGUAUAGGUAUCGGUAAACAUUUGGUCGAAGGAAAUCGGUACAUUUUUCAAAUGAUAAAAACAGUCGCACUGCAGACGGAAACUGGUUAACAACACCCCCCCCCCCCACACACACACACACUCACCAACACUCAACAGGUAUAUUCGUGUAUCCGGACGUCCGGAGCUAUAGGUUCCCGCCAAAGUCUAUACAUUCCCCGUUCAUGCAAUAUCGUUAUUAUCAUUAUUAUUAUACACGUGGUGCCUGGCGCUCUGGUCAAAGCGACCGGUGGUGCUGGCGGUUCGCCGUAGGAGACCGGUGUGCGCACACACACAUACGCACACACCAAAACACAGGUUUAAAGCGCGUGAAAAGGUGUAUGUGUUUGUGUGUGUGACGGUGGCGGUGUGGUGCUCAACGGGGUAGCGGCGGCGGCGAGGCAACACACACACUCUCACCGGUGCAUUCCAUUAGGUCUGGCAACGAUGGUUUUUAAACGCCGGUGGCCCGCCGCCGCCGUACACGUACACCUCCCACGCGGUAUAUAUACCUGUCCUCCUACCCCCCGCCGCGCAUGUCCCUGAAUCGCGCCGCGGACUAAGCACCGGACACCCGAAACUUGUAUAAUAAUAAUAUUAUUAUGUUCCCACGAUGAGUCGAAAACGACGACCGCCGCCGCCGCCGACGAUCGCAUUGCCGCCACCGACUUAGGCUAUAUAAUAAGUAUAUUAUGUACUACACCGCUCCCCUCACUUUCUCUGCUCGGGAUUUAUAUUAUAAAUUACCCGUUCCAUGGUUUGUUUUUUACGGAAAUCGUUUCGAUCGGAUAUUUUAAUCAAUGCAACGUCUUAAACACAAUGUGUUCACUAUAUUAUAUUAUAUUCGUUCAAAUGUCAGCAAAAACGAAUUUGGUAUAUUAUUAUGUUUUAUUUUGUUUUUAAAUUUUACAUACGAAAGUUCGAUUAAAAAUAAAAUUUUAUCUAAAAACUAUUACUGUUAAGUAGUAAAAGUCUACUCAUUGGGAGGGGGUAUAUUCCCGCAGUAAUCGACCAACCUGAUAAUACCGACAUCAGUGAAGCUUUUCUCGAAGUUUAUUAAAUUUAAUUUCCAAACGCUCGUAGUCGAUUUCCGUUUUCCGUUUUCGAGUCACGCACACCACUGCCUUGGCUCUCAUCGAAUAAUGUAAAUCUAUUGCGCGUGCUUAGGAAUGCUAUUCGAGGGUUAGACAACCGCCAUCGAUGGCUGCGUAGAUCGGGUUAAACUAUCGUGAGUUAUAAAAAGUGUAUGUAUAUUGUAUAAUAUAUAGUAUAUACGUGUGCUGGUCAAUGAAUAUGUUGUUAAGACGAUAUAUAUUCUUUUGAUAAUACAAUAUAUUGCGUUAUUAGUCAUUACUAUGUAAAACACACACACAUAUAUAUAUGUGUGUAUAUAUUAUUAUGAAGUAGUGGUUGUGCAGUCGUUAAUCUGGAGAAAAAACUCUGAUGGCCCUCGUUUUAUAUAGCUGCCAUAGCACUUUACACAAUAUAAUAUAUUUAAGCAUAUCCCGUGCCAUAUAUACCAACCUACGUACUUAAUAUCGAAAGACGUAUAAUCCAACACUUCGGUGAUUAAAAACUAUUUGAAAUUCUAUUAAUCGUGACGUUUCGAAAUUUAUCAUUAUUUAAUUCAAUUAUUCUUAUAAUGCGAAUGCCAUCCCAUACGUAGGUACCUACCAUAAAAAUAAUAUGUUCAAAUAAUAAAAUACAUUUACGCUUUUUUUAAUAGUUGGUCAACCUAACCUAUGGAUUUUUCUUUUAGAUACCUGCUAUACAAUGUAUAACAGAUGUUUAGGAAACCAUCAAGUGCAGUUACAUUGCGUACCUUCUAGGAGCAAAUAUCUCGUAUUUUCGACAUUGAAUAAUUAUUUUCCGAGUAUACAGUGUAUGCGGUUAUUUGUGUUGUUUUACUAUAAGGUAUGUGUAUAUUCGUAUACGCUACAAGAUCAUUCAGGCUACGUUGAAUCAGCAGUUUACCUCGAUUGUUAUGCGGCCACUAUUUUCGGUAAAGGGUUUUACAUUGUAGGUACCUAAUAGGUGCGUAAUAAAUAAAUAAAGAUUUUUUGUAAUUUUUUUCUAUUAAAAAUAUAUUUUAAAUUUAAUUUUUA
This is a long non-coding RNA of Aphis gossypii (cotton aphid), 5125 nucleotides long. RefSeq lists it as uncharacterized. NCBI's taxonomy places the organism in Eukaryota, Metazoa, Arthropoda, Insecta, Hemiptera, Aphididae. The record is from RefSeq and is a predicted model, not a curated record. The transcript has 2 exons.